CCAGUCUGCAUGGAGCCGACCUUGAAAUACCACCCUUUAAUGUUUGAUGUUCUAACGUGGACCCGUAAUCCGGGUUGCGGACAGUGUCUGGUGGGUAGUUUGACUGGGGCGGUCUCCUCCUAAAGAGUAACGGAGGAGCACGAAGGUUGGCUAAUCCUGGUCGGACAUCAGGAGGUUAGUGCAAUGGCAUAAGCCAGCUUGACUGCGAGCGUGACGGCGCGAGCAGGUGCGAAAGCAGGUCAUAGUGAUCCGGUGGUUCUGAAUGGAAGGGCCAUCGCUCAACGGAUAAAAGGUACUCCGGGGAUAACAGGCUGAUACCGCCCAAGAGUUCAUAUCGACGGCGGUGUUUGGCACCUCGAUGUCGGCUCAUCACAUCCUGGGGCUGAAGUAGGUCCCAAGGGUAUGGCUGUUCGCCAUUUAAAGUGGUACGCGAGCUGGGUUUAGAACGUCGUGAGACAGUUCGGUCCCUAUCUGCCGUGGGCGCUGGAGAACUGAGGGGGGCUGCUCCUAGUACGAGAGGACCGGAGUGGACGCAUCACUGGUGUUCGGGUUGUCAUGCCAAUGGCACUGCCCGGUAGCUAAAUGCGGAAGAGAUAAGUGCUGAAAGCAUCUAAGCACGAAACUUGCCCCGAGAUGAGUUCUCCCUGAGACUUUAGGUCUCCUGAAGGAACGUUGAAGACGA
This 682-nucleotide ribosomal RNA is filed under the name Salmonella enterica subsp. enterica serovar Corvallis. RNAcentral describes it as "partial 23S ribosomal RNA". It matches the Rfam family "Bacterial large subunit ribosomal RNA", at positions 2171 to 2847 of the family's 2925-position model. Lineage: Bacteria; Pseudomonadati; Pseudomonadota; Gammaproteobacteria; Enterobacterales; Enterobacteriaceae. The record is from RNAcentral.